ACUGCUGGACUGAGGUGUGCCUCCUCAUAGACUCUGACGGCCCAGCCUCAUGGUCAGAAAUAAACUGAAUAUCUGGAGAUAUAGUCCUGUGAUCUUGGAGAGAUGAUGAUGGUCCUUCCUCCUCUGCUCUGUCCUCAGCUCUCUCUUUCACACCCUUUGUCCAACCACCAUCAGUCUUGAAAAAUCCCAUGCGGUGCAGAGUAUGGCGGUUGAUAG
RNAcentral lists this long non-coding RNA (216 nucleotides) under Elaeis guineensis (African oil palm). Its description in RNAcentral is "long non-coding RNA (EGUI_LNC080014)". Lineage: Eukaryota; Viridiplantae; Streptophyta; Magnoliopsida; Arecales; Arecaceae. The record is from RNAcentral.